CUCUAAUAUAUAAGCUAUUUGUUU
Molecule: transfer RNA, 24 nt
Filed under: Drosophila equinoxialis
Lineage: Eukaryota; Metazoa; Arthropoda; Insecta; Diptera; Drosophilidae
Description: partial tRNA-Phe
Source: RNAcentral